AGUGAACGCUGGCGGUAGGCCUAACACAUGCAAGUCGAACGGCAGCACAGUAAGAGCUUGCUCUUACGGGUGGCGAGUGGCGGACGGGUGAGGAAUACAUCGGAAUCUACUUUUUCGUGGGGGAUAACGUAGGGAAACUUACGCUAAUACCGCAUACGACCUACGGGUGAAAGCAGGGGAUCUUCGGACCUUGCGCGAUUGAAUGAGCCGAUGUCGGAUUAGCUAGUUGGCGGGGUAAAGGCCCACCAAGGCGACGAUCCGUAGCUGGUCUGAGAGGAUGAUCAGCCACACUGGAACUGAGACACGGCCCAGACUCCUACGGGAGGCAGCAGUGGGGAAUAUUGGACAAUGGGCGAAAGCCUGAUCCAGCCAUACCGCGUGGGUGAAGAAGGCCUUCGGGUUGUAAAGCCCUUUUGUUGGGAAAGAAAAGCAGCAGUUUAAUCCCCCGCUGUUCUGACGGUACCCAAAGAAUAAGCACCGGCUAACUUCGUG
This 492-nucleotide ribosomal RNA is filed under the name uncultured bacterium. RNAcentral describes it as "partial 16S ribosomal RNA". It matches the Rfam family "Bacterial small subunit ribosomal RNA", at positions 29 to 507 of the family's 1533-position model. The record is from RNAcentral.